RNAcentral lists this ribosomal RNA (199 nucleotides) under uncultured bacterium. Its description in RNAcentral is "partial 16S ribosomal RNA". It matches the Rfam family "Bacterial small subunit ribosomal RNA", at positions 328 to 539 of the family's 1533-position model. The record is from RNAcentral.
ACGCUCGACACCUACGGGAGCAGCAGUGGGGAAUAUUGGGCAAUGGGCGCAAGCCUGACCCAGCAACGCCGCGUGAAGGAAGAAGGCCCUCGGGUUGUAAACUUCUUUUGUCAGGGACGAAGCAAGUGACGGUACCUGACGAAUAAGCCACGGCUAACUACGUGCAGCAGCCGCGGUAAUCUGAGCGGGCUGGCAAGGC